UACGUAGGUGGCGAGCGUUAUCCGGAAUGAUUGGGCGUAAAGGGUGCGUAGGCGGCCUGCUAAGUCUGGAGUGAAAGGUACCGGCUCAACCGGUACAGGCUCUGGAAACUGGUAGACUUGAGAGCAGGAGAGGAGAGUGGAAUUCCAUGUGUAGCGGUGAAAUGCGUAGAUAUAUGGAGGAACACCGGUGGCGAAAGCGGCUCUCUGGCCUGUAACUGACACUGAGGCUCGAAAGCGUGGGGAGCAAACAGG
RNAcentral lists this ribosomal RNA (252 nucleotides) under uncultured bacterium. Its description in RNAcentral is "partial 16S ribosomal RNA". It matches the Rfam family "Bacterial small subunit ribosomal RNA", at positions 524 to 776 of the family's 1533-position model. The record is from RNAcentral.